UAUGGCUAUAUCAUGUUGAAACAUUGGUUCCCAUACAAUCACUGAAGUUAAGCAACAUCAAGCCUGGUCUGUACUUAAAUGGGUGACCACUUGAGAAUAUCAGGUACUGUAA
Non-coding RNA from Acanthosepion pharaonis, 112 nucleotides. Lineage: Eukaryota; Metazoa; Mollusca; Cephalopoda; Sepiida; Sepiidae. The record is from the annotation of a GenBank genome assembly.